Molecule: long non-coding RNA, 201 nt
Filed under: Chinchilla lanigera (long-tailed chinchilla)
Lineage: Eukaryota; Metazoa; Chordata; Mammalia; Rodentia; Chinchillidae
Description: lncRNA (ENSCLAG00000027559.1)
Source: RNAcentral
GUGAUGCUGACUGUCUCUCCCCAACUCAUCCAUCCAGUCUCACAGCGCUCCUGGGUCCGAGUGUGGGCCAGACUCAUACCACCGCGAUUCCCAGCCGAAAAGCGCGCAAAGAGCCAGGUAGGCCGCACCCAAUCCCGGAGGCCAGGACGCGAGAACAAAGACCCCGGUGACACUGCAGACUGAGUUUCUAGGCGCUGGGAG